RNAcentral lists this ribosomal RNA (253 nucleotides) under uncultured bacterium. RNAcentral describes it as "partial 16S ribosomal RNA". It matches the Rfam family "Bacterial small subunit ribosomal RNA", at positions 524 to 776 of the family's 1533-position model. The record is from RNAcentral.
UACAGAGGGGGCAAGCGUUAUUCGGAAUUAUUGGGCGUAAAGGGCGCGUAGGCGGCUUUUCAAGUGACGGGUGAAAUCCCUCGGCUUAACCGAGGAACUGCCUGUCAGACUGGAAGGCUUGAGACCGGGAGAGGUGAGUGGAAUUCCCAGUGUAGCGGUGAAAUGCGUAGAUAUUGGGAGGAACACCAGUGGCGAAGGCGGCUCACUGGACCGGAACUGACGCUGAGGCGCGAAGGCCAGGGGAGCAAACGGG